This 372-nucleotide ribosomal RNA is filed under the name uncultured bacterium. RNAcentral's name for it is "bacterial SSU rRNA". It matches the Rfam family "Archaeal small subunit ribosomal RNA", at positions 745 to 1117 of the family's 1478-position model. The record is from RNAcentral.
UCCAGGGUGUAAACGCUGCGGGCUUGGUGUCGGGGGUCCUACGGGGACGUCCGGUGCCGGAGAGAAAUUGUUAAGCCUGCCGCUUGGGGAGUACGGUCGCAAGACUGAAACUUAAAGGAAUUGGCGGGAGAGCACCGCAACGGGAGGAGCGUGCGGUUCAAUUGGAUUCAACGCCGGACAACUCACCAGGGGCGACGGUUACAUGAAGGCCAAGCUGAUGACUUUGCCUGAUUUUCCGAGAGGUGGUGCAUGGCCGUCGUCAGUUCGUACCGUAGGGCGUUCUCUUAAGUGAGAUAACGAACGAGACCCUCGCUGCUAGUUGCAAACCCCUCCGCGAGGAGGGGUGCACAUUAUCGGGACCGCUGGCGCUAA